This is a long non-coding RNA of Zonotrichia leucophrys gambelii, 1165 nucleotides long. RefSeq lists it as uncharacterized. The record is from RefSeq and is a predicted model, not a curated record. The transcript has 4 exons. NCBI's taxonomy places the organism in Eukaryota, Metazoa, Chordata, Aves, Passeriformes, Passerellidae.
AGAAGAGUCAGUGCUCUGAGGAGAUGCCCAUGAGAAACACCAAGAAGGUUUGGAACUUUUGUGAUAAGGAGAAAACUGUAUGGAGCCCCUGCAAUAAGCUUUUGUGUUGCUGAAACUCUCAUUCACCUGCUGCCUGUGUGUAUGAAGAGAACCAGACAGAAAAAUUCAUUUCAGUCCCCUGAGGGAAGUUGUGCAAGGUCUGAUUUCCCUCCCAGUGUCACUGUGCCUCUGCUGUGUGCUUGAUGCCACAGCUCAGGCCCUGCACAGAACACUCAGGGGGGAAGGAGGCUGGAAUUGCACCCAGGAUAAACACAGAUGCCCUGGGAAUUGCUGUAUCUAUGGAAUGCCUGUGAUGGGGCCCAGAUCCCAGCCCAGGAGGUUCUUUCCCUUGGUCAGCACUGGAAACACAGAGGGGAAAGAUGAGAAAUCAAAGAAAAGGAGGGGAAAAAAAAAGGACCGACCCAGUUCCUGUGUUGCCUGCUGCUGCUUUGCUGCUUUCCCUUUCACCAGGAGGCAGGAAAGAGCAAGGAAAGUGGGUUUGUCCCUUCAGCUUUUCUUGAGUCAUAUGAGAAGGGGCUGAACAUACGUGGUCUGUCCUGGCUGCAGAGCUCAGAUGUGUAAGUUUGCCCACGUAAAGGGGGUUGCUGUUCUGGCAUCAUCAUUCCCCACUCUGUGCCAGCCCCACUCCCCAGGCCAGGAGCAGGAGCUGCAGGUGCCUGUGGUGCCUUGGUGAGCAGAAAGUGUGAGCCCAGGCUCUGCUGGUGGGGGAGAGCCAAGGAGAAUCAGUGUCCCAGCUCUGGAAGUGUCCUACAAGUCUGGCUUGGCAUAAAUCCUGGGCUAAGCUCUGCUUUCCUUGUGCUUUGCCUAGCACAUCAAAGGUCUCUCAGUUUAACAAGAACCAAGCCCAUGGGGAGUGUUUACAGAUCUGUGCUGUCUCUCUGAGGCAGAGCUGCAUUUUUUCUGCGCCUAGUCCAUGCAACAAAUUGCUUGGAAAGCAGAAAGUUCAGGGAAGCACCUGCUGCUCUCACCUGCUCUUGUAGUGAAUGAAACCCAAGUGUGCUAUGAAUCCUGAUAAGAAAAUGACCUUCUGUAACUAUUACAUUAGUCAGUCUCUAUAGUAUGAGACUCUAUUAAGUUUGUUAAUGUGUAUUAGUUCAUGUUGUAC